GACGAACGCUGGCGGCGUGCUUAACACAUGCAAGUCGAACGGAAAGGCCCUGCUUUUGUGGGGUGCUCGAGUGGCGAACGGGUGAGUAACACGUGAGUAACCUGCCCUUGACUUUGGGAUAACUUCAGGAAACUGGGGCUAAUACCGGAUAGGAGCUCCUGCUGCAUGGUGGGGGUUGGAAAGUUUCGGCGGUUGGGGGUGGACUCGCGGCUUAUCAGCUUGUUGGUGGGGUAGUGGCUUACCAAGGCUUUGACGGGUAGCCGGCCUGAGAGGGUGACCGGCCACAUUGGGCCUGAGCUACGGCCCAGACUCCUACGGGAGGCAGCGGUGGGGAAUAGUGCACAAUGGGCGGAAGCCUGAUGCAGCAACGCCGCGUGCGGGAUGACGGCCUUCGGGUUGUAAACCGCUUUCGCCUGUGACGAAGCGUGAGUGACGGUAAUGGGUAAAGAAGCACCGGCUAACUCCGUG
Molecule: ribosomal RNA, 468 nt
Filed under: uncultured bacterium
Lineage: Bacteria
Description: partial 16S ribosomal RNA
Rfam family: Bacterial small subunit ribosomal RNA
Source: RNAcentral